This 401-nucleotide long non-coding RNA is filed under the name Equus caballus (horse). Its description in RNAcentral is "lncRNA (ENSECAG00000048436.1)". Lineage: Eukaryota; Metazoa; Chordata; Mammalia; Perissodactyla; Equidae. The record is from RNAcentral.
GAGUGGCUGGACUGCAGAUGGAAUGUGCAUCGUCAUCACAUUAUGAUUAAUUCUACGUUGCAGACGAGAGUCGAGUCUUGUUCAUAGGAGAUGCUCCCAAAGACUCCCAAGAUAGCCAUCUCAGACCCACUUAAAAUCUGCUGGCGACUCUGGUCAUUUUGAAGCGUGUGUUUUGAAAGUGUGAGCUUUCCGACGGCUGCGCUCUGGGAACAACAGACGAGGAGGCACACGGUGAUCUCACCUAUUGGAAGAGACACAAGAGAAAACUGCACGUGAGCGUCACUGGAAGGUAUUUUAAUAAGAAACACAGUGGGGAGACUCUGGGGAGUCAAUCCUUGGCAUCACGUUUCACCACUAACGAAGCAACAGAGAAUUCCGCACAACUGGAAGGUCACUCAAAU